GGUCCCGCCUGCCCUGUGACUAUAUGUUUAACGGCCGCGGUAUCUUGACCGUGCGAAGGUAGCGUAAUCACUUGUCUUUUAAAUGGAGACCCGUAUGAAUGGCAUGACGAGGGCUUAACUGUCUCCUUUCUCAAGUCAAUGAAAUUGAUCUCCCCGUGCAGAAGCGGGGAUUACACCAUAAGACGAGAAGACCCUAUGGAGCUUUAGACACAAGGCAGAUCAUGUUAAACACCCCAAAACAAAGGACCGAACCCCGUGAACCCCGCCCUAAUGUCUUUGGUUGGGGCGACCACGAGGAAAAAGAACCCCCGUGCGGACUGGGGGCAUACCCCCCUACCACCAAGAGCUCCCGCUCUAAUGACCAGAAUUUCUGACCAAACAGAUCCGGCACUGCCGAUCAACGGACCGAGUUACCCUAGGGAUAACAGCGCAAUCCCCUUUUAGAGCCCAUAUCGACAAGGGGGUUUACGACCUCGAUGUUGGAUCAGGACAUCCUAAUGGUGCAGCCGCUAUUAAGGGUUCGUUUGUUCAACGAUUAAAGUCCUACGUGAUCUGAGU
This 558-nucleotide ribosomal RNA is filed under the name Hephaestus fuliginosus (sooty grunter). RNAcentral's name for it is "partial 16S ribosomal RNA". It matches the Rfam family "Bacterial large subunit ribosomal RNA", at positions 1851 to 2610 of the family's 2925-position model. The record is from RNAcentral. Lineage: Eukaryota; Metazoa; Chordata; Actinopteri; Centrarchiformes; Terapontidae.